CCUACGGGAGGCAGCAGUGAGGAAUAUUGGUCAAUGGACGAGAGUCUGAACCAGCCAAGUAGCGUGAAGGAUGACUGCCCUAUGGGUUGUAAACUUCUUUUAUAAAGGAAUAAAACGAGGCACGUGUGCCUUUUUGCAUGUACUUUAUGAAUAAGGAUCGGCUAACUCCGUGCCAGCAGCCGCGGUAAUACGGAGGAUCCGAGCGUUAUCCGGAUUUAUUGGGUUUAAAGGGAGCGUAGAUGGGUUGUUAAGUCAGUUGUGAAAGUUUGCGGCUCAACCGUAAAAUUGCAAUUGAUACUGGCAGUCGUGAGUACAGUUGAGGUAGGCGGAAUUCGUGGUGUAGCGGUGAAAUGCUUAGAUAUCACGAAGAACCCCGAUUGCGAAGGCAGCUUACUAAACUGUGACUGACAUUGAUGCUCGAAAGUGUGGGUAUCAAACAGGAUUAGAGACCCGAGUAGUC
RNAcentral lists this ribosomal RNA (460 nucleotides) under uncultured bacterium. Its description in RNAcentral is "partial 16S ribosomal RNA". It matches the Rfam family "Bacterial small subunit ribosomal RNA", at positions 338 to 795 of the family's 1533-position model. The record is from RNAcentral.